GGUUUCGGCUCGUAAGCUCUGUUGUUAAAGAAGAACACSYAUKAGAGUAACUGUUCAUACGUUGACGGUAUUUAACCAGAAAGUCACGGCUAACUACGUGCCAGCAGCCGCGGUAAUACGUAGGUGGCAAGCGUUAUCCGGAUUUAUUGGGCGUAAAGAGAGUGCAGGCGGUUUUCUAAGUCUGAUGUGAAAGCCUUCGGCUUAACCGGAGAAGUGCAUCGGAAACUGGAUAACUUGAGUGCAGAAGAGGGUAGUGGAACUCCAUGUGUAG
This 271-nucleotide ribosomal RNA is filed under the name Limosilactobacillus fermentum. RNAcentral describes it as "Lactobacillus fermentum partial 16S ribosomal RNA". It matches the Rfam family "Bacterial small subunit ribosomal RNA", at positions 414 to 678 of the family's 1533-position model. The record is from RNAcentral. Lineage: Bacteria; Bacillati; Bacillota; Bacilli; Lactobacillales; Lactobacillaceae.